UUGACCUCGGAUCAGGUAGGGAUACCCGCUGAACUUAAGCAUAUCAAUAAGCGGAGGAAAAGAAACCAACAGGGAUUGCCCUAGUAACGGCGAGUGAAGCGGCAACAGCUCAAAUUUGAAAUCUGGCGUCUUUGGCGUCCGAGUUGUAAUUUGCAGAGGGCGCUUUGGCAUCGGCAGCGGUCCAAGUUCCUUGGAACAGGACGUCACAGAGGGUGAGAAUCCCGUACGUGAUCGCUAGCCUUUACCGUGUAAAGCCCCUUCGACGAGUCGAGUUGUUUGGGAAUGCAGCUCUAAAUGGGAGGUAAAUUUCUUCUAAAGCUAAAUACUGGCCAGAGACCGAUAGCGCACAAGUAGAGUGAUCGAAAGAUGAAAAGCACUUUGGAAAGAGAGUUAAAAAGCACGUGAAAUUGUUGAAAGGGAAGCGCUUGCAGCCAGACUUGCCUGUAGUUGCUCAUCCGGGUUUCUACCCGGUGCACUCUUCUAUAGGCAGGCCAGCAUCAGUUUGGGCGGUUGGAUAAAGGUCUCUGUCAUGUACCUCUCUUCGGGGAGAACUUAUAGGGGAGACGACAUGCAACC
RNAcentral lists this ribosomal RNA (576 nucleotides) under Neodidymelliopsis farokhinejadii. Its description in RNAcentral is "partial 28S ribosomal RNA". It matches the Rfam family "Eukaryotic large subunit ribosomal RNA", at positions 1 to 580 of the family's 3401-position model. The record is from RNAcentral. Lineage: Eukaryota; Fungi; Ascomycota; Dothideomycetes; Pleosporales; Didymellaceae.